This 1816-nucleotide ribosomal RNA is filed under the name human gut metagenome. Its description in RNAcentral is "bacterial LSU rRNA". It matches the Rfam family "Bacterial large subunit ribosomal RNA", at positions 496 to 2310 of the family's 2925-position model. The record is from RNAcentral.
AAGUACCGUGAGGGAAAGGUGAAAAGAACCCCGGAAGGGGAGUGAAAUAGAAACUGAAACCGUAUGCUUACAAAAAGUUCGAGCCCGUUAAUGGGUGAGAGCGUGCCUUUUGCAGAAUGAACCGGCGAGUUAUUGUAUUAUGCAAGGUUAAGUCGAACAGAUGGAGCCGAAGCGAAAGCGAGUCUGAAUAGGGCGCUUAAGUAUGAUGCAAUAGACCCGAAACCGAGUGAUCUAGCCAUGAGCAGGUUGAAGUUGGGGUAAGACCCAAUGGAGGACCGAACCGAUAUGCCCGGAAACGCGUACGGAUGACUUGUGGUUAGCGGAGAAAUUCCAAACGAACUCGGAGAUAGCUGGUUCUCCCCGAAAUAGGUUUAGGCCUAGCCUUGAUUGAAUCUGCCCGGAGGUAGAGCACUGAAUGUGCGAUGGCGUCGUCUAGAUGUACUGAGUACAAUCAAACUCCGAAUGCUGGGUAGUACUAAUCAGGAGUCACUGUAUGGGUGAUAACGUCCAUACGGGAGAGGAAAACAAUCCGGAUCGCCAGCUAAGGUCCCAAAAUUUGUGUUAAGUGGGAAAGGAUGUAGAGUUGUCAAAACAGCUAGGAGGUUGGCUUAGAAGCAGCCACCCUUUAAAGAGUGCGUAAUAGCUCACUAGUCGAGUGACACUGCGCCGAAGAUGUACCGGGGCUAAACACAAUACCGAAGCUGCGGACUUGCACGUAAGUGUAAGUGGUAGGGGAGCGUUCUAAGGGCGUUGAAGGUAGACCGUGAGGACUAUUGGAGCGCUUAGAAGUGAGAAUGCCGGUGUGAGUAACGAAAAUUGGGUGAGAAUCCCAUUCACCGUUUGACUAAGGUUUCCUGGGUAAAGUUCGUCUUCCCAGGGUUAGUCAGGACCUAAGAUGAGGCUGAAAAGCGUAGUCGAUGGACAACAGGUUUAUAUUCCUGUACCACCUAUGUAACUGAUGGAGUGACGGAGAAAGCUAAUGAGAGCCAGUUAUUGGAUUCUGGUCUAAGUGCGUAGGCUAGUAUGUUGGCAAAUCCGCAAUACUAUAAUAGCUGAAACAUGAUGGGGAAGUGAUCCUUCGGGUGAGCAAACUUUCAUGAUGCUACGCUUCCAAGAAAAGCUUCUAGGGCUAAUUGCAUAGGUGCCUGUACCGACAACCGACACAGGUGGUCAAGGAGAGUAUCCUAAGGUGAGCGAGAGAACUAUGGUUAAGGAACUCGGCAAAAUGACCCCGUAACUUCGGGAGAAGGGGUGGUCUAGCGAUAGACCCGCAGUGAAUAGGCCCAGGCAACUGUUUACCAAAAACACAGGUCUCUGCUAACACGAAAGUGGAUGUAUAGGGGCUGACGCCUGCCCAGUGCUGGAAGGUUAAAGAGAUUAGUUAGUAUGACGUAAGUCGAUAAUACGAAGCUUUGAACUGAAGCCCCAGUGAACGGCGGCCGUAACUAUAACGGUCCUAAGGUAGCGAAAUUCCUUGUCAGGUAAGUUCUGACCCGCACGAAAGGCGUAAUGAUCUGGGUACUGUCUCAACCAUAGACUCGGUGAAAUCUUAAUACCUGUGAAAAUGCAGGUUACCCGCGACUGGACGGAAAGACCCCGUGGAGCUUUACUGUAGCUUGAUAUUGGGAUUCGGUAAAUUAUGUAGAGCAUAGGUGGGAGACUAUGAGAUUAAGGCGCCAGCCUUAAAGGAGUCACCAUUGGAAUACCACCCUUAGUUUAUUGAAUUUCUAACCUAGGACCAUGAUCUGGUUCAGGGACAGUGUCUGGUGGGCAGUUUGACUGGGGCGGUCGCCUCCUAAAAUGUAACGGAGGCGUU